CGUGAGCCUGUUGUCGCGCAAUUUCCAGCCCGGGUUCUCGCAUCUACGUCGUCCUGACCGUCGGAUUCUCGCUCGGGAAAAGAAACUGGGCGAGUCCGUGGUGGCGGCCGUGCCGGCUCGCUCGAGAUUCUCGUGGCUCCGCGUUCCUCGCCGAUUCUCCUACCCGCGUCCGCUCGCUCGUCGUCGAUUCACGUCCGACUUGGAUUUGGAGUGCGAGCGAGUGCGACAGUGUAAACCUGUAAAAGCCAGUGCAAUCAUGCAAUGUUGCUGUCGAAGCAGUACUAGCAGUAGCGUUAUUUCCGAUCGUUGCGUUUCCGUUGAUGACGUUGAUGUUGGGGCAAGCGAGAAAGAAGAAUGUCUCCCACUCGCUCCUGUCAGCUCCUGCUGAUACUUUCCCUAUUCGCGGUUUUAACGAGGACUGAUAACAAAUACCCCGCAAUAUAAAGUUACCUCUAAGCUUAGCUUUAGGGCAGUGUGCAUAAAGAUUGAUAAUGAUGUCUAACAUCAAGAUAUACCUAACGUUAACGAAUAUGUGACAUGUCUAGCACUCGUGAUAUCGAACGAGACGAACGUAAUGGGAGAUUCCGCUCACAAAGAAGAGGCAACACAAGCAACGACGUGAACAAGGACAGCUCUGAUGGUUCACAUUGGGGAUUUGGUUUGAUAGGUGGUGCAAUUGGAUUGGUAGUCGGAGGAAUCAUGGCAACACAAUACUGGAAAAAUACACCGGAGCCGGAGCAAAAGGUGGCAUCUCAGUCGUGUCAAUCAUUUGAAACAUCAGGAGAGCGUCGAGAAAGACGUCGAAGACUCAGGGAUGAAGAUCUUAGAGAAGAUCAAACAUGUGUAGUUUGCUUCACAAACGCACGUGAAAUUAUUUUACUACCUUGUGGUCAUGUAUGCAUAUGCAAAGAUUGCUCAGUUAGCAUAAAAAAUAAUUGUCCCAUAUGCAGAAAACAAAUCCUUGAGAGGAGAGCGGCAUAUAUACCAUAAAUUUCAAUUUGAUAUGAAUACAUGUUUCAUAUAGCAAGAAUAUUUUUAUUGUAUUAGAAAGUGAAAACAAUGAUUGAUUAAAGUGAUAUUAUCCCGUA
Molecule: long non-coding RNA, 1088 nt
Organism: Temnothorax curvispinosus
Lineage: Eukaryota; Metazoa; Arthropoda; Insecta; Hymenoptera; Formicidae
Exons: 2
Source: RefSeq, a predicted model, not a curated record